GGCUGAGCUCUGGAGUUGUAGCCUAGGGUCCACUGAUGGCUCCCCUGUCCUUCCAUUACAGACUUACGUGUCUGUGCUUUCUUUCUUUUUUUUUUCUAGAAGGGCUCUGGCUUUCUGCAGAUUCUUCUCAAGGGAGGCUGUGACCCAUAAGAUUUGCAGCUGAUGCUGAACAACCUUAUAUUACAGAAGGGGGUCUGGGGACCUCAGAGUGGAGAAGCUGGCUAAAGGUCACCUGGAAGUUUAGCAGCAAGUUGGAAAGAAGAACUCAAGACUCCAGACUGUACGAUGCUAUUUAGUGUCUGAUUGAAGGUCAUCUCCUCUGAGAAGACUUCCCUGAACUCAUCCCAUCUUCUGCAUUACAUCGCAUAUACCUUGAAAGGACACCCUUUAUUGCAACAAGUCACUUCAGUGGAAUCUGUCCCUGCUAGAAUGGAAAAAAAAAAAUCUCCUGGAGCUCAAAGCGGCUUGUCCAAGUUCCCCCAGGGAGUGAGUGGCAGAGCUGGGAUUUGAAUCCAAAAUGCUUUUGCACCUCCUACACCACCAGUGCUGCCGUGGUGUUUGUUCAGCAUCCAGCUGAAGGCAGCAUGGCCCUCACGGCGGGCCCUCUCAACUGGGCUGUGGAGCAGCCGAAGUACAGAGCCUGGCUCCCCCACCAUCCUGGGAGAAAGAAACUACAAAGAGAGGAAAAGAAAUUGACCUUCAUGGAGCUCAUAAUCCACUGGAGAGAUGGCUCAGACACCAGUGGAGGAGCCAAAAGAACAAACUCAAUCCAUCACGAACUCUUUUUAAAAUGUAUUAUGUAUAGGAAUGACACCCCUCAUAGAAGAAUCCCAGGAUUUUCUCUUCUGUGUGUUUCUGUUUCACUUCCUUGCAGCCAUGAUACUAGCUGAGGUCAUCGGUGCAAUGAGAUGAAAGAAGAUGCUUCUGUCACUUCUCUAGAUCUUUGAGUGAUACGUCAGAUUCAAGGCUAAUCACACUUACUUAACCUGUGUGUGAGUUUCGCAAUGAUGUUCUUGCUCCGUGAUCAUCAAUGAUUUCCAAUUCACCCGUGUAGCCAUGCUUCAUCAUCACACUAGAAGUCAUGUAAACCUUUCAAGGAAAGACUUCCACUACAAACAAACAACAAUUAAAAGCCAGAUGAUGACUUCGG
Molecule: non-coding RNA, 1150 nt
Organism: Odocoileus virginianus texanus
Lineage: Eukaryota; Metazoa; Chordata; Mammalia; Artiodactyla; Cervidae
Source: RefSeq, a predicted model, not a curated record